Molecule: ribosomal RNA, 580 nt
Filed under: uncultured Alphaproteobacteria bacterium
Lineage: Bacteria; Pseudomonadati; Pseudomonadota; Alphaproteobacteria
Description: bacterial SSU rRNA
Rfam family: Bacterial small subunit ribosomal RNA
Source: RNAcentral
CCGCAUAAGAUUGUAGUACCGCAUGGUACAGCAAUUAAAGGAGUAAUCCGCUAUGAGAUGGACCCGCGUCGCAUUAGCUAGUUGGUGAGGUAACGGCUCACCAAGGCGACGAUGCGUAGCCGACCUGAGAGGGUGAUCGGCCACAUUGGGACUGAGACACGGCCCAGACUCCUACGGGAGGCAGCAGUGGGGAAUAUUGCACAAUGGGGGAAACCCUGAUGCAGCAACGCCGCGCGAGUGAUGAAGGCCUUCGGGUCGUAAAGCUCUUUUACCCGGGAUGAUAAUGACAGUACCGGGAGAAUAAGCUCCGGCUAACUCCGUGCCAGCAGCCGCGGUAAUACGGAGGGAGCUAGCGUUGUUCGGAAUUACUGGGCGUAAAGCGCACGUAGGCGGUUAUUCAAGUCAGAGGUGAAAGCCCGGGGCUCAACCCCGGAACUGCCUUUGAAACUAGAUGACUGGAAUCUUGGAGAGGUCAGUGGAAUUCCGAGUGUAGAGGUGAAAUUCGUAGAUAUUCGGAAGAACACCAGUGGCGAAGGCGACUGACUGGACAAGUAUUGACGCUGAGGUGCGAAAGCGUGGG